This 383-nucleotide ribosomal RNA is filed under the name uncultured bacterium. RNAcentral's name for it is "bacterial SSU rRNA". It matches the Rfam family "Bacterial small subunit ribosomal RNA", at positions 350 to 751 of the family's 1533-position model. The record is from RNAcentral.
AGCAGUGAGGAAUUUUCGUCAAUGGGGAAACCCUGAACGAGCAACGCCGCGUGCAGGAUGAAGGUUUUCGGAUCGUAAACUGCUUUUCUGUGGGACGAGCAAGGACGGUACCACAGGAAGAAGCCCCGGCUAACUACGUGCCAGCAGCCGCGGUAAUACGUAGGGGGCGAGCGUUGUCCGGAUUUAUUGGGCGUAAAGCGUCCGCAGGCGGUUUGUCAAGUUUGGGGUGACAGUUCCUGGCUUAACUGGGAAAGUGCUUCAAAAACUGGCAGACUUGAGGGUCUCAGAGGAAAGCGGAAUUCCGGGUGGAGUGGUGAAAUGCGUAGAUAUCCGGAGGAACACCGAUGGCGUAGCAGCUUUCUGGGAGACACCUGACGCUCAGG